CGAACGCUGGCGGCGUGCUUAACACAUGCAAGUCGAACGGGCCCGCCCCUGUUUUUGGGGGUGGGUUGAGUGGCGAACGGGUGAGUAUCACGUGAGUAACCUGCCCCCUGCUCCUGGAUAACUGCUUGAAAGGGCGGCUAAUACGGGGUGUGCCGGCUGGUCCGCAUGGGCCUGGUCGGGAUAGUUUCAUCUUCGGGUGUUUCGGUGGGGGAUGGGCUCGCGGCCUAUCAGCUUGUUGGUGGGGUGAUGGCCCACCAAGGCGGUGACGGGUAGCCGGCCUGAGAGGGUGGGCGGCCACACUGGGACUGAGACACGGCCCAGACUCCUGCGGGAGGCAGCAGUGGGGGGUAUUGCACAAUGGGCGGAAGCCUGAUGCAGCGACGUCGCGUGAGGGAUGGAGGCCGUCGGGUGGUGAACCUCUUUCUCCGGUGGUGAAGGCCCUGUCCGUUGCGGCGGGGUUGACGGUAGCCGGGUAUGAAGCGCCGGCUAACUACGUG
Molecule: ribosomal RNA, 497 nt
Filed under: uncultured bacterium
Lineage: Bacteria
Description: partial 16S ribosomal RNA
Rfam family: Bacterial small subunit ribosomal RNA
Source: RNAcentral